Molecule: long non-coding RNA, 425 nt
Filed under: Homo sapiens (human)
Lineage: Eukaryota; Metazoa; Chordata; Mammalia; Primates; Hominidae
Description: non-protein coding lnc-HNF1B-2:5
Source: RNAcentral
AAAGGACACCUUCGGAUUUCCUGUCUUUGUGGGCUGAUGGACUAGAGGAAAGAUGCCUGUUGACGGUCAAAGGCAGAGCCUCUUCGGCAGCUUCUUAAAGCGCCUUCUUUAACAGAGAAACAAUCUGCAUGGGGUCUAGAACGGUUCUGAAAUCCUGCUGAAGGUUUCGAAACUUCCUGGGGGGGGUCUCCUGCCAGAGCGCCUACGCUGCCUCUGGGCUGGCUGGCCAGUGAGCCCCGUCUCACAGCCUGACAGUCCCCACAUCAGCCCGGACCGUCUUUCGGGACCAGCCCCAUUUGCACAGCCUGAGCUGUAGAGGGCCCUGGAGUUCGGAGUUCUUGUCCCAACUGUGCCCCUGCAGGCCUGUUCCACCCACUGAGGCUCAGUUUCCCCAUGUGCCUAAUGAGGAAGUCAUGCUAGGUGGG